GACGAACGCUGGCGGCGUGCUUAACACAUGCAAGUCGAACGGAAAGGCCCUGCGUUUGUGGGGUGCUCGAGUGGCGAACGGGUGAGUAACACGUGAGUAACCUGCCCUUGACUUUGGGAUAACUUCAGGAAACUGGGGCUAAUACCGGAUAGGAGCUCCUGCUGCAUGGUGGGGGUUGGAAAGUUUCGGCGGUUGGGGAUGGACUCGCGGCUUAUCAGCUUGUUGGUGGGGUAGUGGCUUACCAAGGCUUUGACGGGUAGCCGGCCUGGGAGGGUGACCGGCCACCUUGGGCCUGAGAUACGGCCCAGACUCCUACGGUAGGCAGCAGUGGGGAAUAUUGCACAAUGGGCGGAAGCCUGAUGCAGCAACGCCGCGUGCGGGAUGACGGCCUUCGAGUUGUAAACCGCUUUCGCCUGUGACGAAGCGUGAGUGACGGUAAUGGGUAAAGAAGCACCGGCUAACUACGUG
Molecule: ribosomal RNA, 468 nt
Filed under: uncultured bacterium
Lineage: Bacteria
Description: partial 16S ribosomal RNA
Rfam family: Bacterial small subunit ribosomal RNA
Source: RNAcentral